Molecule: non-coding RNA, 123 nt
Organism: Ophiophagus hannah (king cobra)
Lineage: Eukaryota; Metazoa; Chordata; Lepidosauria; Squamata; Elapidae
Source: Rfam
UUAAACAGUCAUGCUACUCUGAAAAUCCUGAUCUCAUUUGAUUUUGGAAAUUAACCAGGGUCAGACUUGGUUAGUACCAGUAUUUGGAUGUGGGGACUGUUUGGGAAUAUCAGAUGCUUUAGG